RNAcentral lists this small RNA (23 nucleotides) under Arabidopsis thaliana (thale cress). RNAcentral describes it as "Ath_wt_13617". The record is from RNAcentral. Lineage: Eukaryota; Viridiplantae; Streptophyta; Magnoliopsida; Brassicales; Brassicaceae.
GACCGACGCGGAUUACGGUGGCG